This 517-nucleotide ribosomal RNA is filed under the name uncultured bacterium. RNAcentral's name for it is "bacterial SSU rRNA". It matches the Rfam family "Bacterial small subunit ribosomal RNA", at positions 28 to 529 of the family's 1533-position model. The record is from RNAcentral.
GAUGAACGCUAGCGGCAGGCCUAACACAUGCAAGUCGAGGGGCAUCGCGGUGCAGCAAUGCACUGGCGGCGACCGGCGUACGGGUGCGUAACGCGUAUGCAACCUGCCCCGCACCGGGGGAUAGCCCGCCGAAAGGCGGAUUAAUACCCCAUGGUCCCGGGUGUCCGCAUGGGCAUCCGGGUAAAGCCUUGGCGGUGCGGGAUGGGCAUGCGUGCCAUUAGCUGGCUGGUGGGGUAACGGCCCACCAGGGCAACGAUGGCUAGGGGGUCUGAGAGGAUGGUCCCCCACACUGGUACUGAGACACGGACCAGACUCCUACGGGAGGCAGCAGUGAGGAAUAUUGGUCAAUGGGCGAAGCCUGAACCAGCCAUGCCGCGUGCGGGAUGAAGGCCCUACGGGUUGUAAACUGCUUUUGUACGGAACGAAAAGGUCUUUUACUAAUAAAGAAGACUCAUGACGGUACCGUAAGAAUAAGCACCGGCUAAACUACGUGCCAGCAGCCGACGGUAAACUCGUA